ACAUUCGCUCUGGGUUUUGCCUUAUCCACUCCCGGUGAGACUUCAACAGUCUCUGAGGCCGAGGAAGGCUGGCCCUGAACUCCUGGGCUCCAGUGAUCCUCCGGCCUCAGCCCUCCCAGCAGCUGGACCACAGUGUUGAGACCGUGCCCAGCUGGGAUGAUGUCUGUGUGAUCAGAUGUGUUCCUUGUCUGUCCUUCCAUCACCCUCCUUUCCUGCAAUCCAGACCUCAGAGCACGAGGGGCCCUGGUGUGGAAAUCCCUGCCCACACCCACGUCCUGAGAAGCCUAUGCUGAGUCCCUGCCCUUUCCAAUCCUGGGGCUGCGUCUUCAAGACCACGAGACGUCAUGGAGCCCGAGGCUCCUGUCCCUUCCAGCCUCUCUUGUCCUCACAGCUCCGUCCCCCGACACUCCUGGAGGUGUCACCUUUGAUGGCCACAUUCGUGGUCCUGCUUCUGUGUGCUGGGGAGUAGCCAUGAGCACUGGCAGGGACACCACCCCAGGUGGCAGUCGGCUAGGACCGCUGAAACCCAGGCGGGGGCAGCCUGAGUGAGGCUCCGGCUCCACGAGCUCCACAGGCUCCACACCGUGCUUCUCCCACUAGUGCGCACUUCUCGGC
This 615-nucleotide long non-coding RNA is filed under the name Heterocephalus glaber (naked mole-rat). RNAcentral describes it as "lncRNA (ENSHGLG00000036944.1)". The record is from RNAcentral. Lineage: Eukaryota; Metazoa; Chordata; Mammalia; Rodentia; Bathyergidae.